AGUGAACGCUGGCGGUAGGCCUAACACAUGCAAGUCGAACGGCAGCACAGUAAGAGCUUGCCCUUACGGGUGGCGAGUGGCGGACGGGUGAGGAAUACAUCGGAAUCUACUUUUUCGUGGGGGAUAACGUAGGGAAACUUACGCUAAUACCGCAUACGACCUACGGGUGAAAGCAGGGGAUCUUCGGACCUUGCGCGAUUGAAUGAGCCGAUGUCGGAUUAGCUAGUUGGCGGGGUAAAGGCCCACCAAGGCGACGAUCCGUAGCUGGUCUGAGGGGAUGAUCAGCCACACUGGAACUGAGACACGGUCCAGACUCCUACGGGAGGCAGCAGUGGGGAAUAUUGGACAAUGGGCGCAAGCCUGAUCCAGCCAUACCGCGUGGGUGAAGAAGGCCUUCGGGUUGUAAAGCCCUUUUGUUGGGAAAGAAAAGCAGCAGGUUAAUACCCCGCUGUUCUGACGGUACCCAAAGAAUAAGCACCGGCUAACUUCGUG
This 492-nucleotide ribosomal RNA is filed under the name uncultured bacterium. RNAcentral describes it as "partial 16S ribosomal RNA". It matches the Rfam family "Bacterial small subunit ribosomal RNA", at positions 29 to 507 of the family's 1533-position model. The record is from RNAcentral.